UCCAUCUCCGACAGGACCAAGGCACCUCCAGAUAACACUUUGCGAACCAUGUAGGGUCCUUGCCAAUUUGGUGCAAAUUUUCCUUUAUAUUCAUCCUGGUGAGGGAAAAUACGUUUGAGAACCAACUGAUCAAUCUCAAACAUUCUGGCUCUUACUUUCUUGUGAAAAGCACGAAUCAUUCUCUGUCGAUACAGUUGUCCAUGACAAACAUCAACCAUUCUCUUCUCAUCAAUCAAUGUUAACUGAUCAAUC
This 252-nucleotide long non-coding RNA is filed under the name Solanum tuberosum (potato). RNAcentral's name for it is "long non-coding RNA (STUB_LNC005020)". The record is from RNAcentral. Lineage: Eukaryota; Viridiplantae; Streptophyta; Magnoliopsida; Solanales; Solanaceae.